AAUCUUGUACUGUUAGAGUAAACCUUUCCUACUGGUUACUCGACUCUGUUCUUUAUUGGAUGGAGUAGUGUCGCAAGGCAUCAUUUAAUAUUAUAUUGCUCUUUAAUGUAGUAAUUGGGUUAAACUGGUUAUGAAAUUAAAGGGAGAACAGUAUGAUAUUAAAUGGGGUUCCAGUUCAUUUACUUUGAGUAAAUUAGAGUGUUCAAAGCAGCCUUUUGGGGCAUUGAAUAGAUUAGCAUGGGAUAAUAGAAUAGGAUUUUUAUCUAUUUAUUUGGUUUUUAGAUUUAAAAUAAUGAUUAAUAGGGAUAGUUGGGGGCACUUGUAUUCAAUAGUCAGAGGUGAAAUUCUAGGAUUUAUUGAAGACAAACUUCAGCGAAAGCAUUUGCCAAGCAUGUUUUCAUUAAUCAAGAACGAAAGUUAGGGGAUCGAAGACGAUUAGACACCGUCGUAGUCUUAACUAUAAACUAUGCCAACCAGGGAUAUGAGGGAUUUUUUAAUUUAUGUUACUAUCAAGUAACAUAAUCUCUUGUGAACCUUGUGAGAAAUCAUAAGUUUUUGGGUUCUGGGGGGAGUAUGGUCGCAAGGCUGAAACUUAAAGGAAUUGACGGAGGGGCACCACCAGGAGUGGAGCCUGCGGCUUAAUUUGACCCAACACGGGAAAACUUACCAGGUCCAGACAUUUGAAGGAUUGACAGGUUGAUAGCCCUUUCUUGAUUAAAUGGGUGGUGGUGCAUGGCCGUUCUUAGUUGGUGGAGUGAUUUGUCUGGUUAAUUCCGAUAACGAACGAGACCUCUGCCAUUAAAUAGAGAUAGUUAUAAGAAAUUAUAGCUAGUUAUAAAUAUUUACUCUUCUUAAUGGGACUUUUGGUUUUUAAUCCAAAGGAAGUUAGAGGCAAUAACAGGUCUGUGAUGCCCUUAGAUGUUCUGGGCCGCACGCGCGCUACACUGAUAGCAUCAAAAAGUAUAUUUAUUUAAUCCUUCUCUGGAAAGAGUGGGUAAUCUUUUUUAAAUGCUAUCGUGAUGGGGAUAGAUGAUUGCAAUUAUUCAUCUUGAACGAGGAAUUCCUAGUAAGCAUAAGUCAUCAGCUUAUGUUGAUUACGUCCCUGCCCCUUGUACACACCGCCCGUCGCUGCUACCGAUUGGAUGAUCCGGUGAAAUCUUUGGAUUCUGAUAAAAUACUUGGAGUAAAAUUCAAGUUUUAUUGGGAGAAGUUGAUUAAACCUUAUCAUCU
This 1230-nucleotide ribosomal RNA is filed under the name metagenome. RNAcentral's name for it is "SSU rRNA". It matches the Rfam family "Eukaryotic small subunit ribosomal RNA", at positions 637 to 1774 of the family's 1831-position model. The record is from RNAcentral.